UCCUACGGGGCGCAGCAGUGAGGAAUAUUGGUCAAUGGACGAGAGUCUGAACCAGCCAAGUAGCGUGAAGGAUGACUGCCCUAUGGGUUGUAAACUUCUUUUAUAUGGGAAUAAAGUGAGCCACGUGUGGCUUUUUGUAUGUAACAUACGAAUAAGGAUCGGCUAACUCCGUGCCAGCAGCCGCGGUAAUACGGAGGAUCCGAGCGUUAUCCGGAUUUAUUGGGUUUAAAGGGAAACUAGGAGGAUACUUACACCA
This 256-nucleotide ribosomal RNA is filed under the name uncultured bacterium. Its description in RNAcentral is "partial 16S ribosomal RNA". It matches the Rfam family "Bacterial small subunit ribosomal RNA", at positions 337 to 590 of the family's 1533-position model. The record is from RNAcentral.